CCAAUGUCUUGACUCUAUAAGUGACAUCCGGUGUGACAUUCAGAAACAUGCUGGUGACCAGAUUUCUCUUCUGCAGACAAUACUCCCCAAAGAGACUGCAGGUACAUGCACUUCACCAAGAAGCACUUGUGAGAGGUGGUUGCUGACUCUGUUACAGAUGGAUUUUCCUUUUUAAUAAAAUAAAAAGUAUUUCAGAAUCCUGGUGAACAUCCAUAGACAAAGAGAACGAGACAUUUUGCGGGGAUAGAAGUCAGCCAAGGGAAUUCAGGAGAGGGGAGAAGCUGAAAAUCAACAACUGGUUAUGGCCUCAAUAUACCAGAAAUGUCUCCA
Non-coding RNA from Pelodiscus sinensis (Chinese soft-shelled turtle), 330 nucleotides. The record is from RefSeq and is a predicted model, not a curated record. Lineage: Eukaryota; Metazoa; Chordata; Testudines; Trionychidae.